AGUUUGAUCCUGGCUCAGAGCGAACGCUGGCGGCAGGCUUAACACAUGCAAGUCGAGCGGGCGUAGCAAUACGUCAGCGGCAGACGGGUGAGUAACGCGUGGGAACGUACCUUUUGGUUCGGAACAACACAGGGAAACUUGUGCUAAUACCGGAUAAGCCCUUACGGGGAAAGAUUUAUCGCCGAAAGAUCGGCCCGCGUCUGAUUAGCUAGUUGGUGAGGUAACGGCUCACCAAGGCGACGAUCAGUAGCUGGUCUGAGAGGAUGAUCAGCCACAUUGGGACUGAGACACGGCCCAAACUCCUACGGGAGGCAGCAGUGGGGAAUAUUGGACAAUGGGCGCAAGCCUGAUCCAGCCAUGCCGCGUGAGUGAUGAAGGCCCUAGGGUUGUAAAGCUCUUUUGUGCGGGAAGAUAAUGACGGUACCGCAAGAAUAAGCCCCGGCUAACUUCGUGCCAGCAGCCGCGGUAAU
Molecule: ribosomal RNA, 470 nt
Filed under: uncultured bacterium
Lineage: Bacteria
Description: bacterial SSU rRNA
Rfam family: Bacterial small subunit ribosomal RNA
Source: RNAcentral